CAUGUGGCCUCUUUUGCUGCAUUCACACCGGAUGAGUUUUGGGCAUUUCACGCGGCGUGGUUACAUAGAAAGUCAGUGGAGCUCACGCGAAUCUGUGCCGGGCAGCGUGGGCACGCAAAAAUUCGCCUCCUUCGGCGGUUCGCUCGGGGUUGGGCGAAUUGAACUACAAGCCGCAUUCGCAUGGUGACAGCCAAUCAGCUUCGAGAACGGACUAAGUCACACACGGCGUCCUGUAGAGGAAAAGGGAGGAGGUGAUUGUUGCAGUCUGUGGGCAGCCACAGCUGUUUGACACGUUAUCAGUACCGACACCAAGCAAGAAAAGAGCAGGCUUGGAAAACUGAAGGAAGAAAGCUGGCAUACCCGAUGAACUUUAUCAGACAGAUGAGGGGGAACGGGAGGAAGGUCAAGGAGCACAUGAGGCACCUCAAAGACCGCCUGGGGGAAAAGGGCAACAGAAAAGAGGAAUUGAGGCGCAUCUUCUUAUGUAUAAACAUUCCCCCAGCGAGACCUCACUUCGCUGCUCAUGACUAGCAUGACUCCUUCCUUGGAAACAUUGCCACGAGAGUAGAAGGAAGAUGUCAAAUUUCAAAUCCCGAAAUUAAUGUAUGAACACAGCACAUUUACUCUAAAUUAUGUCCAGGUGGCAAUCUUUUCCAGGAAGGAUUCAGGCUUUUAUAUAUAUAUUUUUUUUCUUCAUUUCGUUCCACGUGUAUACAUUAAUACAUCCACUUUAUUUUACCAAUUUGUCUUUCAACUUUCAGACAAAAACGAUUACAUACAUAACCUUAUGUGCC
Long non-coding RNA from Phyllopteryx taeniolatus (common seadragon), 794 nucleotides. RefSeq lists it as uncharacterized. The record is from RefSeq and is a predicted model, not a curated record. The transcript has 3 exons. Lineage: Eukaryota; Metazoa; Chordata; Actinopteri; Syngnathiformes; Syngnathidae.